This is a long non-coding RNA of Mus musculus (house mouse), 345 nucleotides long. RefSeq annotates it as vault RNA component 5. The record is from RefSeq and is marked validated. The transcript has a single exon. NCBI's taxonomy places the organism in Eukaryota, Metazoa, Chordata, Mammalia, Rodentia, Muridae.
CCGGAACGGGACCCGAUUGGUCUGUCAUCUCAGAACUUUCAAAACAUCCAAAUGACGUAUGUUUCUCUCACAGUCAUGUAAAUAUAUCCAGGAAGAGAUAGACGGGCCAGCUUUAGCUCAGCGGUUACUUCGACAGUGGUUCAGUUCAUUACCAGCUAUUCGUAGCAGGUUCGAACAACACAACCAACCACUUACCUAACCCGUGAGUGUUUGGUUCGAGACCCGCGGGCGCUCCCUGGCCCUUUUGCCGCUGCGAAUCCGCGGAACUUUGGCUACUUUUGCAUGUUAAAAACCCUCAGAACUUCUUGAAUAAAUUGCAGUUUCAAAUACUGCACAUUUUAUGUA